CAAUAGCGUAUAUUAAAGUUGUUGCAGUUAAAAAGCUCGUAGUUGGAUUUGUGGUGUACUUUGGCGGCCCGUCACUAUGUGAUGGAGCUUGCUGAAGUCGCCAUCCUUGGGUGGAUCCUGUGUGGCAUUAAGUUGUCGUGCAGGGGAUGCCCAUCGUUUACUGUGAAAAAAUUAGAGUGUUCAAAGCAGGCUUAUGCCGUUGAAUAUACUAGCAUGGAAUAAUAAGAUAGGACCUUGGUACUAUUUUGUUGGUUUGCGCACCAAGGUAAUGAUUAAUAGGGACAGUUGGGGGUAUUCGUAUUUCAUUGUCAGAGGUGAAAUUCUUGGAUUUUUGAAAGACAAACUACUGCGAAAGCAUUUACCAAGGAUGUUUNCAUUA
Molecule: ribosomal RNA, 379 nt
Filed under: uncultured eukaryote
Lineage: Eukaryota
Description: partial 18S ribosomal RNA
Rfam family: Eukaryotic small subunit ribosomal RNA
Source: RNAcentral